Acinonyx jubatus (cheetah) is the source of this 5355-nucleotide long non-coding RNA. RefSeq lists it as uncharacterized. The transcript is spliced from 2 exons. NCBI's taxonomy places the organism in Eukaryota, Metazoa, Chordata, Mammalia, Carnivora, Felidae. The record is from RefSeq and is a predicted model, not a curated record.
CCGCCGGUCCGCAGAUAAAAGCCCAGAGCCUCCCGGCCGCUGGCCGAGGGAGGAGGGGGGAGGGAAGGAGGAGGAGGGAACAGUCUGUGGGGCGUGAUGGGAGUUGUAGUUUCGGUCUCUCCCUGGAGUGCCUGGUGGGCUGAGCGCCUCGCAGCCCCUCCUUACUGCGUGACAAUAGCGUACACACGCAGGUGGCUGCAGAGGACCCCGAGGCUGGGGCGAGGCUGUGACGAGGCUGUGACGAGGGGUGGCACUGCAAAUUAGAAGCCUGAUGAGAGCACAACUGAUAUUUUAUUUUUCUUAGCAAAACUGUAAUUGUAGUAGAAAAAUGAAUACCAAGCGAAAUUGGAGUCCUUCUAUCAACAUUGGGAAUCAGGACCCCACCCUCCCCACCCCCUACUCUGCACAAUGGCUUCGCCUCUUUGCACCUAAUAUUUACAAUUGAGCCAAAUCUGUGCCGUUUUCAGACCCGCUGCACAUUCCAACGCAGUCUCCCAGGAGGAUGGUGUUAAAUAAAAAGCUUUUAUGUAGUUUGCUAAUAGUUUAGGAAUAGUUAUUUAACAAGUGUUUUCUGUUUCAGAAAAGCGCAAGCCUUGCAACCGUUUCGUGGAUGUGAACCAGUUUUCCCUGCAGUUACUGUAUUUACUUUAUUCCUUUCAGCAGGGGAUUUUAGCACAGUUCUGGGAACAAUGUUAAUUAAUAGUUCUAGAAAGAAAGAAAUUAGAUGAUGAGAUCUCUGGCUCUUUGGUAAAUUUCUUGCACGAGUACUAAUCAUUUUGGAGCAUUUGCGUUUUAGAGCAGUUUUUAAUAUUUCAAGUUUAUAACCUUUCCUAUUCUCUUAAGUUAUUUCUGUAGUAUUUUUUUUUAAUAUUUAUUUAUUUUUGAGAGACAGUGCAAGCGAAGGAGGUUCGGAGAGAGACAGAAUCUGAAGCAGGCUCCAGGCUCCGAGCUGUCAGCACAGAGCCCAACACGGGGCUGGAACUCACGGACCACAAGAUCAUGACCUGAGCUGAAAUCUGAGCUUAAAGCUCUGAGCCACCCCGGUGCCCCUACAGUAUUCCUUUUUAAUUUAGUACAUUAACAGAUGAUACAAUCCUAAUGGGACUUUAUUUCUUCUUAGUAUAUAAUAACAUUCAAUGUAAGUUUUGCUGUAAUUAAUAUCUCUCUGCAUAUGUACUUUAAUUUAGCUACCAAAAAUUUGGAAAUGGAUACUUUUAAGUUUUUAAAUAAUUUCCUUAAAAGUAGAUACUGUGUUUCCUGUAUAACUGCCACUCUUGAAAGUCAACAUUUUCUUUAGUUUGGAAUUAUUCAGCUUUGAAGGUAUAGUUAAACUCAACCAAUAGGAACUCAGAGGCUAUUCUCUGAAAGGUACCAAAGUGGAUAAAAAGUUAAAUAAGUCAUUUCCCCAGCAGAACACCUAUUGUCUGCAAAACAAAAAGGUACAGAAAUAGCAGCAGAACAAGACCAAUAGGUUGUUGUGUGGAUUUAAAGGAAAGGGUGGCUUUUUAGAAGAGACUUUGAAGACGAGUAGAAGAAUAUCUACUGGCAGAUAGGGGGAAUGCAGGGUGAGAAUAUGCGGAAUUUAUGAGAUCGACAAGGAGUUGGUUGUACUUCAGAAAGGGAUAGGAGAGGUCUAGUAGGGAUAAUGUUGAAAAUGUAGGUUUGAAUGAAUGCAACAGAAGGCUCUCACUGGGUUGUCUUCCCAGCUCCUUGCUCUUUUCUGAAACCUGUCCCUCAGCUCUGACCUAAGACAUUGUAGGGGUGGCUCCCAAAGCCCUGUUCAUACAGCAAGACCCAGACCGCUGGCCACAGCUAAUUGGUCUAGGCCCCAAACUAGGCCAGACAAUAUCCCUACCCUAAGGACUUGGAAUUAGCACCGGCAAAGAAAGAGAGAGCUUAAACUUUAACUUGUGACACAGAAGCUCAGAGCUUUCAGAAGCCACGUUCUAACAUGGGAACCAGAGAAGCUGAAGAAGCUAGUCAGUAGGAAGAGAACAAAGCAGACUUGUGGAUAGUGAUGGAAAUGAGUUUCAGCGAGUGCUGAUAAUGUUUUAGUCCAGGGGUCCUAAAAUUAUGAGCUGUGUGGCAAAUUGUGUGUUUUAUAAAUAAAGUUUUAUUGGAACUCAUUUCUUUUCAUAUUGCCUAUGCCACAGUGACAGAAACCAUAUGGCCUGCAAAGCCUAAUACAUUUACUAUUUGGCCCUUUACAGAAAAAGUUUGCCAGUCCUUGUUUAUGGCUCAACUUCUUCCUAUACCCCUACUCAUAAUGUCUGCAUAAUAUCCCUGUAUCCAUAGCAUAUAUUUCUCAUCUUACUUAAGCCACCUCAAAUAGGUUUCAGUUUUGGGCAAUCAAAAUUACCCUCACUGAAAAGUUUAUACUGAACUUGUAAGCAUUCAGAGGAAGGAAAGGAUAUGAUCAGAGCUAUACUUCAAGAACAUUACUCUGGUAAUAGUUCUGGUUUAUUCCACACUGAUGAAAAAGUUUAUAUGCAGGACAAAGUGUUAGCAGUCCAGGGAUCCACAACAGCUAGUGUGGAGUUGAGACCCGGAGUUAGUAAACAAAAUGUAAGAAUGAGUGAGAGUAGAAAGCAAUCUGGGAUAUAAACUAGAGGCCCAAGAUCAACACAAGGGUAUCAUACCACAGGGAGGAUUAGGUGCCCAUCUGACAAGUAAAGUCUGCAGAUAAAGCAGGCAGCCAAAGCUUAAAGACAGAACUCAGAAAACUGAGUAGGUCAUUAGGCUUUAAGCAAGCUGCCUCUGCAUUGCCUAAGACUUGAACCUGUUUAUAAGUCAUGAUAGGACAUCUGGCUAGCGUGGGUUUUUUCUUCACUUUAUUGACAUGUAAUGUUGUGUAAAUUCAAGGUGUACAACGUGAUGAUUUGACAUACAUUUACAUUGUGAAAUUAUCACCAUAAUAAGGUUUGUUAACAGCCUAGAGUGUUUUAAAACAGGAGUUUUUAACCUUUAGUAGUCUGGCAAAGUCUAUGAACCCUUUCUCAAAAAAAUAAGUUUCUAAAUACAGAAAAUAAAGGGGACAGGAUUAGUGAUAUCGCAAAAACAGUUAUCAAAAUAAAGGAGUGCAGUAUUUUUGUUAUUUUUUGAAUUUAUUUCAGUUUAAUUUGUUUUAACGUACGGUGCUAUAUUAGUUUCAGGUGUACAAUAUAGUGAUUCAACACUUCCAUACAUCACCCAGUGCUCCUCAUAACAAGUGCACUCCUUAAUCCCCAUCACCUAUUUCACCCAUCUCCCCCACCCACCUCCCCUCUGGUAAGCAUCAGUUUGUUGUCAAUAGUUAAGGGUCUGUUUCUUGGAUUGUCUCUCUCUCUUUUUCUCUUUCUCUCUUUCCUCUUUUUCCCCUGGCUCAUUUGUUUCAUUUCUUAAAUUUCAUAUAUGAGUGAAGUCAUAUGGUAUUUGUCUUUCUCUGACAUUUCACUUAGCAGUAUACUCUCUAGCUCCAUCCAUGUCAUUGCAAAUGGCAAGAUUUCUUUCUUUUGAUGGUUAAAUAAUAUUCCAUCGUGUGUAUAUACCACAUCUUCUUUAUCAAUUCAUCUGUCGAUGGACACUUGGGCCGCUUCCAUACCUGGCUACUGUAAAUAACACUCCUGUAAAUAUAGGGUUGCACAUGCCUUUGAAUUAGUGUUUUUGUAUUUUGGGGGUAAAUACCAAGGAGCGUGAUUACUGGAUCAUAGAGUAGUUCUAUUUUUAACUUUUUGAGGAAUCUUCAUAGUCUUUUCCACAGCUUGGAAACACCAGUGGCAUUCCCACCAACAGUGCAAAAGGGUUCCUUUUUCUCCACAUCCUUACCAACACUUGUUGUUUCUUGUGUUUUUUAUUUUAAACAUUCUAAUAGGUGUGAGGUGAACCACUGAUUUUGAAGUAUAAUGAGAAGAAAUAAAAUUUUAAGAUAUUUGCAACAGUUGGAAAAUAUUAAAAUACCUAUGAUUUCUGUUGGUAACAAAGUCACAGAUGUUUGCUGCUAUUACAGUGGUUUGUUGAUACAUUCAUAAUUGAAGGGAUUAGUAAAUUUCUGUUGGAGUCUGAUGAAAAUAUAAAGAUGUUAUUUUUUUUCUCAUUUAAGUUAAUGAACUCCCUAAAUUCUAUCCACAAGUCUCUUGGGUGGGGUGGGGGACAUGUGUGUCUAAGAACACCAGUUGAGGAAACCAUAGUGUCUAAGUGUAUUCAAAUCUGUAAAAACCUAUGAAUUUGCCUAAAAAGCACAUACAGAAAGAAACAAGAAGGAGCCAUGAAGAGUCCUUUGGAGAACCCCUACAUGUAAGAACUGGAAGGAGAACAAGGAAUUAAAGGGAGUGGAGGAGCCAUCAGAAAAACACAAAACUGAAAGAAUACAGUAAACCUAACAGUAGAGUUCUCUAAGUUUAAGGAAGUAGAGAAUAGCAAGAAUGUUACUCAGCCUGAAAGUCAAGAAAGAAAAUAAAAAUAGAGGCUUUGAGUUUGUUAGCUGGGCAGCCUGUGUUCACAUUUCAGCUUUGCCACUUAAUUUCUUGGACAAAUUAUUUUGUACCUCUCUAAGCUUCAAUUUUCAUGUCUAUAAAAUAAGCAUAAGUAAUGGCUUUUAUUCAAUAUUUUUAUGAAGGUUAAUUAUGCUCAGGAUAUUCUCCAAAUGAUGGCCUAUGGUAUCUGUUUGAAGGGUAUUCCCACUCUACCUGGUUACUGAUGUUUGGACCAUAUCUGUGUACUUCCCUCAGUGUGACCUAUAUUGCAGCUUGAAAGUAAUUUAUGACAUAUGUGACCAGGCUUGGAAAUACAUAAUGGGGAUUUUCCAGGAAUUUACAGUUGGAAAAUCAAAAGACUAAGGCAAUUGGUAGUAGGAACAUAAAGGCAAAUGCUGCAAGGGGGUGGAGUGGGGAUAAGGAGCUUUGAGCAAGUUAAGGAAUGAGGGAACAGAAUGAAGAAUAAGAGGAAGUUGGUCUGUAACAGGAGAAUGGAGCCCCUGUGGAAUGAAAAGUAGAAACGCUAAUGAAGAGCUGGCCGCUGUCUUCUAGUCUCAGCUUCCAUGAAUCCAGGUGUACCACAGUUCCUGCCCUUGGAUUGCUGUUUUAUAACCUCCAUCUUUUAUCUUGAGCUAGUUUAAGUGGAGGGGUCUUUUCCUGACUACUGUAAAUCCUAACCAGAAUAUCCAUGUAAAGUAUGGACAGUAAAUCACUUGCCUGAGGGGCGCUUGGGGGAAUCAAUCGGUGAAGCAUCUGACUUUGGCUCAGGUCAUGAUGUCACAGUUCAAGAGUUCAAGCCCCGCCUCAGGCUCUGUGCUGACAGCUCGGAGCCUGGAGCCUGCUUCAGGUUCUGUGUCUCCCUCUCUCUCUGCCUCUCCCCCCACUCAUUCUCUCUCUCUCUCUC